Long non-coding RNA from Xenopus laevis (African clawed frog), 376 nucleotides. RefSeq lists it as uncharacterized. Lineage: Eukaryota; Metazoa; Chordata; Amphibia; Anura; Pipidae. The record is from RefSeq and is a predicted model, not a curated record. The transcript has 3 exons.
UCCAUAACAAGGGGCCAACAGUGGCAGCAAACAUUUUACAGAUAGAAAAAUAUGUGGAUUCCGAAUAAAUGUCCGCAUUCCAAUUAAACACAGGGAGGGGAAGAUUUGGAGAUACCUCCGAGAUGUAAUCCAGAGAACCUUUUGAAGAUUCAAACACAAUUGUAAUAUACAGCCACCAGCAAAAUGUUGAACGGAUAAAAAUGGUUCUGGACGUCUUUUCAAACACGAUGCAAGAUUUGUUUACUUCCAGGAGAAUUACUGCAAUGAGCUAAUGUGGAAAUAAUGUUUCCUAUUGUUUAUUUGCUGCAUUGAUUUAGGUGCAGUAAGCCCAAUCUGCAUGUUUUAUACAUUUUUUUGUUUCCAAAAUAAAUCUAAU